GGUCAUGAUGCUCGUAUAAGAGCUAAAGACCUUCAUACCUCUUUAACCUGGUCCAUGGAUUGAAAAACAGUACCAUGUUCUCAGAAUGCACAUGUGCUCUUUCCCCUGAUUACAUGAUUUUAAUGCACAUCACAGGAUAUGCGUUGAUAAACUGAGGAAUCACCCUAAUGUUUUCAUGCAUUUUAACUCUAAAUCAAGACACUAAGAAUUGGUUGAACUGCAUGGAGUUUUCUUCUGGGCUCAUCAAGGCAAGAAAAAUGGGGGUUAGUUAAUUUUAUUAAUUAGGGUAAGCAGUGGCCAAACUAAUCCAGUCAUUUGAGUGAAUUUUUUUUCAUGGCAUGAGAUAAUUAAAUGCUGAAGUUUUUAAAGGCAGAUUGAAGUGAUAAUGAUAAUGAUGCUGUGAUGACUUAAGCAGCAAAAGUUUGGGUGCAAUGGACAACAUGCUAGAUUUGUUUGAACUUCUUCUAAGGAAGCUACUUCAUAAAGGCAAAAAUAAAAAUUAUUGGGUAAUCUGUUCUAAAAUUUUUGGUGACACGAUCUGUCUGUGACUAUUAAGUAAAGGAAAAUCGCUGUUGAGAAUGACAAGUAGAUACCAUUCUUUUUUCAAUUAAUGUAAAACUAGGAGAAGAACCCAGCAAUGAGAAAAGAUAGAGUAAAAUAUAAUGCAUGUAACAUGACUUUUCUGACACAUGGACGGUCUCAUUUUGAAUGAUAGGUGUUUUAAUCCUAGUGCUCAAUUAGACUCAGUUCAAGCCCAGUUGCUAAAUAGUUUCAAUGUUCUUUAUUGUUCUCCUUGGACGUUAAUUUUACUACACCUUGUAUCUUGAAAUAUGUUGAAUAUUAUUGUACAUGUGACAUUCACAUGAAUUUUGCCAGCAUUAUUGGAGACAUUGUGGUGGAGAGGUUAGGGCGCUGGACUUGUACUCUUGCGGUCCUGGGUUCAACUCUUUACUCUGUUGUUCACUGGAUUUGUUUUUGGUUGCCCUUAGUUUAACUCCUAGCUUGCGCUUUGUAAAAAGCCAACUGGCUAAUGCCUGUGUCCAAAAUAUCACAAGUUGUGGAUAAGGAUUCUCACUUCAGAUAACCAAGGGCAUCACUGGUAAACAUUGCUAGCUCUGUGGUGACUGGUUUUUUUUUGUUUAAUAUUUCACAAAUUACUGAGGUUCUACAGACAAGUUACAGAGCAUAGUAAAUAAGUACCAUUGGAAUCACUCACUAUUCUGGAAAGUUGAUUGAUUAACACUGUGAGCUUGAAGAACCACAACAGACAGAAUUGCCCUUAUGAUACUUUCACAGAAGAUGAAAAACAGUUGGAUUCCCUUUAGGACAUGUAUAAAUCAGCUCAGGACGUGUUGCAGAAACAGGAAGAGCAAGAAAUGGCCAUUAAGAAAUGUAGGAACAAAGUGGAUGACUGAUGAAAUGACAAUGUUUCAAAGAAUUAUUACAAAGGAUGCUACACCUAAACAAGGCAUAAAGAUGGUUUCUGGGAAAACGUCGUGGUCAAUUUAGCAAUGGCAAAGAAGAAGCUUGAAAAAUGCUAAUACACAAAUUCAUUUGAGCCAUAUUUGAGAAACUUCUUCAUAGACUUCUACAGCUUUUGUUCUCAACUGAGGCCCUUGACCUAGUGUCAGAGUUAAAAAAAAGGUUUUGCUUUAUAAAUAAAUCAUUAUUACUUCA
Pocillopora verrucosa is the source of this 1677-nucleotide non-coding RNA. NCBI's taxonomy places the organism in Eukaryota, Metazoa, Cnidaria, Anthozoa, Scleractinia, Pocilloporidae. The record is from RefSeq and is a predicted model, not a curated record.